GGAAUUUCUCCUAGUUUCCUCUAUUGAUAAUUUUGAGUGCUUGGAAUGAAAGGGGUUUUUCACAUAUGAAUUCAAGUAGGCCAAUUGAACCCAAAAAUCCAAACUUUUUUGUUCUCAUUUAUGAUUUUAUCCAAAGGUUCCAAUUUUGGAUUAAUUAACCUAAACUUUGAAAUUCAAAGAAAUCAAUUUGGGGGUUAUCGACUUAUAUUGUUAACUCAUAACACUUGCCACAUAAUAAAAAGACCCGACUAUGGUAAAAUACAUUUGUUUAGAGACCUACAGAAUCAUUUUCACUAGACUACAGGCUGUUGCUGCUGAUUAA
This 322-nucleotide unclassified non-coding RNA is filed under the name Hevea brasiliensis (rubber tree). Lineage: Eukaryota; Viridiplantae; Streptophyta; Magnoliopsida; Malpighiales; Euphorbiaceae. The record is from RNAcentral.